This 576-nucleotide ribosomal RNA is filed under the name Fermentozyma sake. RNAcentral's name for it is "eukaryotic LSU rRNA". It matches the Rfam family "Eukaryotic large subunit ribosomal RNA", at positions 54 to 654 of the family's 3401-position model. The record is from RNAcentral. Lineage: Eukaryota; Fungi; Ascomycota; Pichiomycetes; Serinales; Debaryomycetaceae.
AGGAAAAGAAACCAACCGGGAUUGCCUCAGUAACGGCGAGUGAAGCGGCAAAAGCUCAAAUUUGAAAUCUGCGUAAGCCGAGUUGUAAUUUGAAGAUGGCUACUUUGGUAAUGGCUCUUGUCUAUGUUCCUUGGAACAGGACGUCACAGAGGGUGAGAAUCCCGUGCGAUGAGAUGUCCAUUACCGUGUAAAGUGCUUUCGAAGAGUCGAGUUGUUUGGGAAUGCAGCUCUAAGUGGGUGGUAAAUUCCAUCUAAAGCUAAAUAUUGGCGAGAGACCGAUAGCGAACAAGUACAGUGAUGGAAAGAUGAAAAGAACUUUGAAAAGAGAGUGAAAAAGUACGUGAAAUUGUUGAAAGGGAAGGGCUUGAGAUCAGACUUGGUAUUUUGUAUGGCUUGCUUUCGGGCGGGUCCUCUGCAGUUUACUGGGCCAGCAUCGGUUUGGGUGGCAGGAUAAUAGCAUAGGAAUGUGGCUCUACUUCGGUGGAGUGUUAUAGCCUUUGUUGAUACUGCCUGCCUAGACCGAGGACUGCGUCUUUUGACUAGGAUGCUGGCAUAAUGAUCCUAAGCCGCCCGUCU